This 987-nucleotide ribosomal RNA is filed under the name Plasmodium knowlesi. Its description in RNAcentral is "SSU rRNA". It matches the Rfam family "Eukaryotic small subunit ribosomal RNA", at positions 638 to 1428 of the family's 1831-position model. The record is from RNAcentral. Lineage: Eukaryota; Apicomplexa; Aconoidasida; Haemosporida; Plasmodiidae.
ACAUAACUGAUGCCUCCGCGUAUCGACUUUGUGCGCAUUUUAGCUAUUAUGUGUUCUUUUAAUUAAAAUGAUUCUUUUUAAGAUUCAUCUAUUAAAAAUUUGCUUCGGCAUAAUUUUUUUUGAUGAUCUUGUUACUUUGAGUAAAUUAGAGUGUUCAAAGCAAACAGCUAUAGCAUUUGUGCGUUUGAAUACUACAGCAUGGAAUAACAAAAUUGAACAAGUCAGAAUUUUUUUGUUCUUUUUUCUUAUUUUGGCUUAGUUACGAUUAAUAGGAGUAGCUUGGGGGCAUUUGUAUUCAGAUGUCAGAGGUGAAAUUCUUAGAUUUUCUGGAGACAAACAACUGCGAAAGCAUUUGCCUAAAAUACUUCCAUUAAUCAAGAACGAAAGUUAAGGGAGUGAAGACGAUCAGAUACCGUCGUAAUCUUAACCAUAAACUAUGCCGACUAGGCUUUGGAUGAAAGAUUUUAAAAUAAGAGUUUUUCUUUUCUCUCCGGAGAUUAGAACUCUUAGAUUGCUUCCUUCAGUGCCUUAUGAGAAAUCAAAGUCUUUGGGUUCUGGGGCGAGUAUUCGCGCAAGCGAGAAAGUUAAAAGAAUUGACGGAAGGGCACCACCAGGCGUGGAGCUUGCGGCUUAAUUUGACUCAACACGGGAAAACUCACUAGUUUAAGACAAGAGUAGGAUUGACAGAUUAAUAGCUCUUUCUUGAUUUCUUGGAUGGUGAUGCAUGGCCGUUUUUAGUUCGUGAAUAUGAUUUGUCUGGUUAAUUCCGAUAACGAACGAGAUCUUAACCUGCUAAUUAGCGGCAAAUACGAUAUAUUCUUAUGUAGAAUUGAAUAUAGUGGAUUUGUUAGAUUUUGAAGAAAAUAUUGGAAUUACGUUAAAUGUGAUUCCUUUCCCUUUUCUACUUAAUUUACAUUUCCAUCUAUUUCUUUUUUGCGUAUGAAUGUAUUUGCUUGAUUGUAAAGCUUCUUAGAGGAACGAUGUGUG